RNAcentral lists this long non-coding RNA (395 nucleotides) under Cervus hanglu yarkandensis (Yarkand deer). RNAcentral describes it as "lncRNA (ENSCHYG00000011837.1)". The record is from RNAcentral. Lineage: Eukaryota; Metazoa; Chordata; Mammalia; Artiodactyla; Cervidae.
CGCGUCGUGUUGCUCGCUGAAAUCUUCUGGCUGGCCCGGCAAGUGGCGCCCAGCGUGGGGCUCGACAAAAGUUCCUUGCGGCCGCUGCCUGUUGAAACUAUUAAGAAUGCCGAAGCGCCGCGCUGGCUCCCAGAAAGGUUGGUACGCGCGGUGGAGGCGAUCGCUGGUGGAACAAAUGAGAUGACUUACGAUCCAGGAGACAGCCCCGCUACCAACAGCCCAGCAGAUACAGGCGCUGUUACAAAUGGCGUGUGAGAAUUCUCCGAAUCUUCCCACCGCUUCGCCUACUAAUAUAUUGAUUUCUCUAUUACUUCUUUUAAACCAGAAUGCCAGCAUUUCUUAUACGGGACCCUCUUCACAAUUACCAAUGUGCUUUUUCUGAAAUCAUAAUGUUU